GUCAUUGUAUUGUCAAUGAUUCAUAGAUUGUACAAUAUACCUAUCUAUUUGCUAGAAAAAAAAAAUUAAAAAUACAAUAAUAUAUAAGUCGUGGGCAAAACGGUAAAGGAAGAAAAACACAAGUGGUCGAAGAUAUGUUUUUACGGAAAUAUAAUUGAUCGUAAAAGUCAAAGAAGAAAUGGUAAGGGACGCGAAUGUCGCUAUACGGAACGGCACGUGGAUCUUGGUUUUUCAAGGUCGGCCGUGGUACGACGCGCAAAAUUUCGGUAUAUCUCUGGGAUCAGAAAAAAAAUAAAUCGUAGAGAAAAAGAGAUAGAAUGAGGCAGGGGCAAUCACGAAGGUCGCACGCGUGGCCACAGAGAUUUCUUCGAAAAUUACUUAUCGCUCCACGCGCCUUCUCUUUUGCCACGAUAUUGAAUGUACUCUCGCCAUACGUGCGUAUAUUUGUACACAUACGAUCUCUUUGGAUUUGUUCUUUCUUCUUUAUCCAUUCCUUCUCCUUUUUUUGUUCUUUCCUUCCAACCCCCCCCCCCGUUCCAUUUGUAAAAGUUAAUAAUUCGUACGAAUCAAAUUAAUUAUAUCGACUGGCGUUGAAAAUUUGAUUCAAUUAUUAUAUUCGAAUUUUUCUCUCGAUUUAUAUUACGGAACUUAUUAUGGUGAAUGUCAAUUUUUUUCCUUCCUUUUUUGUUUUUUGUUUUUUUCCCCCCCUCUUUGGCGCUAAUAUUCCCGAUGUUAACUAAAUUGACAGCGACCGCAAAUCUCCAUUUUAUCCGAUCGGAAUGAGAGUUCAUUGGUGAAUCGCGAAUUAUAGAUACGUAUGUACACGUCGAUGUAAUUUCGCUACGGAAUAGCUAAUUAAUCAUUUGCAUUCGAAACACGACAAUCUAUCUACCUAUCUACCUAUCUAUCUGUUCGUACCGAUCUAAAAUUAAUAGCAAAACGAUAAUGACGUCGACGUUUAUUGACAUUCUCGUCUUAUUUUCUCGCAGAUGUAUUUUAGCAGUAAACAAUGCGAAUCGUACGAUAGGAUUUGCAGGAAGUUAUCGGUCGAUAAUUAGCAGGCAGCAUCGCACAGAUCGAACUCUUAUCAUCGACAUAAACAAUCGCGUUUCGUUCAAAAUACGAACGAAACAUUAUCAACGAGGAAAAUAACCGGAUGUAAAAUCGCGUUAUCCUAUAUUUGUAGAUUAUCGAGAUAACUCGUUGAAAAGCUUUUUAGCGCGUUCGUGAUAACGGGAAUAAAUGGAGAAAAAGAGAAAGGUAGAGAAAGAAAUGGAAAGAGAGAAAGAUAUCAAACGCGGCACUUUUACUCGUCGAAAGUCGAAAUCGCGUUAGUAAGAAAACGUCUCUCGAUCCAAACGAACGUCUUAUAAGCCGUCCUCCUAUUAUUUACUUCUACGAUUAUUUCUCGCUUAGCAGAGCGUUUAGAAACUUAGUUAACGAGCCGGAUCAUCGAUGAAGCAUCAUUGGUACGAGAGUGGGAUGUCUUUCGACAGGUAUCAUCGCGGAAGAAACAAACUAAUUAUACCUGCUGGUAUUACACACAGGUAUGAUGUCAUUAGGCAAAGACCGGGCGAUCUCGUUCAGUGACUCAUCGUAAGUCGGUCGAAAGCGUUUACAAUAUACGAUAGUUAAUUAACCUAUAAUAAUGCGCGUAAAAAUAUACAAACGUAACUAUCUUAUCCAUUAACGAGAAUCCUGGCGAUACAAGUUAAAAAUAAAAGUGACGAUAAAUAUUCGAUAAGAACAAUUUUUUUUUUAAUUUUUAUCAAAUUAGUCUAAUACUCGCUUAGAAUAAAAAUUUUCAAACAUUUUGAUUGGGAGAGAAAGAAAAUUCAAACGUUUCCCAGGAAAAUUAAA
Long non-coding RNA from Vespa crabro (European hornet), 1860 nucleotides. RefSeq lists it as uncharacterized. The transcript is spliced from 2 exons. Lineage: Eukaryota; Metazoa; Arthropoda; Insecta; Hymenoptera; Vespidae. The record is from RefSeq and is a predicted model, not a curated record.